AUGAUGGAGUACUGUCACUGGCGAUUUGCAGCUACUGAAAUUACUAGAAGAAACCUCAGAAACUCCAUGAUCAAAAACUGCCUUCAAGGGCGCCACCCCGCCAUUAUCUACUUCAUCAAUAUCUUUAGCCUUAGGCAUCUGCCUCAGCCUCUUCACCCUCCUCUUCGUUUGCUGACUCAAAACCCCAGCUGGAUGGGGAUGGGAAUCGGAAUCGUAAUCAUAAUCGGAGGAACGUGGACGCUUGAAAGAACGGGGAUUGGGUUUUGCACAGACAUUGUGGUUGCGAUUGUUCAAAGAAUUCAGAUUAAGCUUCAAAUCUUCAAGCCUCAUUGUCACCAAACCAAUUAA
RNAcentral lists this long non-coding RNA (348 nucleotides) under Prunus dulcis (almond). Its description in RNAcentral is "sRNA ncRNA". Lineage: Eukaryota; Viridiplantae; Streptophyta; Magnoliopsida; Rosales; Rosaceae. The record is from RNAcentral.